CGUGUAGGCGGCCGGUCAAGUCCGGUGUGAAAGCCCGAGGCUCAGCCUCGGAAGUGCACCGGAAACUAGCCGGCUCGAGCGCGAUAGAGGAGGGUGGAAUUCCUGGUGUAGCGGUGAAAUGCGUAGAUAUCAGGAGGAACACCGGCGGCGAAGGCGGCCCUCUGGAUCGUUGCUGACGCUGAGACGCGAAAGCGUGGGGAGCAAACAGGAUUAGAUACCCUGGUAGUCCACGCUGUAAACGAUGGGUACUAGGUGUUCGGGGUGUUGACCCCCUGAGUGCCGACGCUAACGCAUUAAGUACCCCGCCUGGGGGACCUACGGCCGCAAGGUUAAA
Molecule: ribosomal RNA, 334 nt
Filed under: uncultured bacterium
Lineage: Bacteria
Description: bacterial SSU rRNA
Rfam family: Bacterial small subunit ribosomal RNA
Source: RNAcentral